RNAcentral lists this ribosomal RNA (921 nucleotides) under Ramularia endophylla. Its description in RNAcentral is "LSU rRNA". It matches the Rfam family "Eukaryotic large subunit ribosomal RNA", at positions 23 to 975 of the family's 3401-position model. Lineage: Eukaryota; Fungi; Ascomycota; Dothideomycetes; Mycosphaerellales; Mycosphaerellaceae. The record is from RNAcentral.
ACCCGCUGAACUUAAGCAUAUCAAUAAGCGGAGGAAAAGAAACCAACAGGGAUUGCCCUAGUAACGGCGAGUGAAGCGGCAACAGCUCAAAUUUGAAAUCUGGCGCAAGCCCGAGUUGUAAUUUGUAGAGGAUGCUUCUAGGUAGCGACCGGUCUAAGUUCCUUGGAACAGGACGUCAUAGAGGGUGAGAAUCCCGUAUGUGACUGGCCCGCACCUUCUACGUAGCUCCUUCGACGAGUCGAGUUGUUUGGGAAUGCAGCUCUAAAUGGGAGGUAAAUUUCUUCUAAAGCUAAAUACCGGCCAGAGACCGAUAGCGCACAAGUAGAGUGAUCGAAAGAUGAAAAGCACUUUGGAAAGAGAGUUAAAAAGCACGUGAAAUUGUUGAAAGGGAAGCGCUCACAACCAGACUUCUAGGCAGUGUUCCGCCGGUCUUUUGACCGGUCUACUCUCUGUCUCGAGGCCAACAUCAUCUGGGACCGCCGGAUAAGACCUUAGGAAUGUAGCUCCCCUCGGGGAGUGUUAUAGCCUCUGGUGAUGCGGCGCGUCUCGGGUGAGGUCCGCGCUUCGGCAAGGAUGUUGGCGUAAUGGUUGUCAGCGGCCCGUCUUGAAACACGGACCAAGGAGUCUAACAUCUAUGCGAGUGUUCGGGUGUCAAACCCCUACGCGUAAUGAAAGUGAACGGAGGCGGGAAGCGUAAGCUGCACCAUCGACCGAUCCUGAUGUCCUCGGAUGGAUUUGAGUAAGAGCAUAGCUGUUGGGACCCGAAAGAUGGUGAACUAUGCCUGAAUAGGGUGAAGCCAGAGGAAACUCUGGUGGAGGCUCGCAGCGGUUCUGACGUGCAAAUCGAUCGUCAAAUUUGGGUAUAGGGGCGAAAGACUAAUCGAACCAUCUAGUAGCUGGUUCCUGCCGAAGUUUCCCUCA